UUAGUGAGUUAUCGGAGCAGUGUUGCCAAUUUAGCGACUUGGUCGCUAUAUUUAGCGAGUAUUCUUACCCCUCUAGCGACACAUUUUCAAAAAAGCGACUAGGGAAAAAUCUAGCGACUUUUUCUGGUUUUAUUGGAGACUGACGUGAAAGCACUCUUACUCUUCUCAACAAGCAGCGGGUGCUGCAGUGGGCCCCACCCCCGUACCAAAGCACUCACAGGCCCAGUCCUCACGCUGCAGUCAGAGCAGGAGAUGUUCACCCCGCGUCCAGACUGCAUAGUUUAAUAAAACACAACAAAAAAACUGAAUUAGGGCCAGACUAGUUACCAUAAUUUUCUCACAUUGCCAUUGACAGUUUUUUCUAUGGUCUCUUUUUGGUCAAUUUAGAUUGUAUACAAAAAAAUGUAAAAAAUGUUUUACUGUGACUUAUAGGCUCCUAAGUGGACCAUAAGGUUAAAAACCAAACCUAAUUAAGAAAAUAAAACAAAAAAACAAAAAAUUAAAUAAAAAACAAAGUAACUCCACCAGAGUGUCUCUUUUGGGUCACUUUUGCCAGUCCCAAGUCCAGAUAAAGGAGGAGGGGUGGAAUUGUGACAUUAAAAAAAUACAAGAAUCGACAGAAGAAAGUUCAUUUGUAGUUCUUAACAUAUUUAGGGUGUUUUUACUCCCUUUUUGUCUCUCCCACGACGUUAUUCCUCUCUCCUACAGCGUCCAUCACAAUUACAUGCACAUUGACAAUUAUGCAAAUUAGGCGAUUAUGUCAUUUAGCGACUUUUAGGAAAGAUAGCUACUUUCCUUUCCUGAGGAGUUGGCAACAGUGCCUUGGAGAUUUCUUCAAUCUCGGAGAAUGAGUACUACUGAAAACAAACGUUUCUGCGUCUCAUCAUUUUACCCUAUUAAUUCAGUUGUGUAAUGUGCAAUAUGAGUCAAAAUAUUGAGGUAGCAUGGUUAAUUACCUAGUCCAUGAGUUUCAUGUUUGAAGGCAAUUGAAGGGAUUUUUAACCGAGUGAAAAACUGGUUGGUUUUUUCCCCAUUGUAAGUAAUGGAGUUUGGCUAGGUUGCUAAUGGUUUACAUGUAAGAGAAGGGAUUAAGAUGGCGACCGAACUUUCUGUACUUUUUUUUCAACAAUAUUUUAGAUCCAAUUUGUUUUAUUUCCUAUGAACAAAGGCUCAGGACUGCCAUGGGCAAGUCUCUUGACGGGUACCAGGAAUGGUGGGAGGCCAAUCUGAAGGUAAUUAUCUUCGCACACAACAGCAGCGUCCAGGCCUCCAGAGUACUCACCCUAUCGCCUGCUGUAGGGACGGGAGCUGCAGCUGUUUACGGAGUUGUCAAACCAGAUCAGAAGGCCUCGAGGACCACCUUCAGGCAUGGGCUGAGAAGGAUGUGGAUCAGGUGAGACUGAACAUAGCGCAGGAGAAACAGGAUUGCCAUUGGAGGAGAAUCAAGGGUACCAAGUGUUUCAAAAUCUGGGUGAAUGGUUUGGAAGAAGGAUGAAAGGAAGGCGAGAACUGGGAAACCUUGCUGCUCUUUUUCUCCAAGCUGGGCUCACCAUCUGUUAAGGGACCAUCCCUUACCUCCCUCAUCAACCCCACUGACAUAAACCAUUACAGACAGGACCUAGGGGUUCUGCCCAGCACCCAGACAUGGAGCCACCUGAUGUCCUCCAUUACCCACCACCCUCCAACUUUUCAUUACAUUAGCUACUGUUAUUGUCAUGUCAUUAUCUGCUAAGAAAGAGCAAGAAAACUAUCAUACUGGGCACAUAAUGUGAGACGCACAGAUUAACUAAAAACACUAGCACUGCAAACUCUAAGAACAAAGCGAGCAGCAGCACCUAGACCUAGUGUACUUCUUAUCUCUGAAAAUGGCUAGCUCCUACAAAGAAGUCCUUGUGUCUGUAUUGAUGUGAGAAAUAAUCAUAUCUACACAGUAAAGGUGAAUGGCUGCGAUAUCAACUAGGCUAAUAUUUUUUGUAUCGAGGUAAUAGGCCUAUUUUAGCUAAAU
Long non-coding RNA from Oncorhynchus keta (chum salmon), 2005 nucleotides. RefSeq lists it as uncharacterized. The record is from RefSeq and is a predicted model, not a curated record. The transcript has 6 exons. Lineage: Eukaryota; Metazoa; Chordata; Actinopteri; Salmoniformes; Salmonidae.